This 499-nucleotide ribosomal RNA is filed under the name uncultured bacterium. RNAcentral describes it as "partial 16S ribosomal RNA". It matches the Rfam family "Bacterial small subunit ribosomal RNA", at positions 28 to 507 of the family's 1533-position model. The record is from RNAcentral.
GACGAACGCUGGCGGCGUGCCUAAUACAUGCAAGUCGAGCGAAGUCUUUCUGGUUCUUGCACUAGAAAAACUUAGCGGCGAACGGGUGAGUCACACGUAAAGAACCUGCCUCAUAGACUGGGACAACUAUUGGAAACGAUAGCUAAUACCGGAUAACAGCAUUAACUGCAUGGUUGAUGUUUAAAAGUUGGUUUUGCUAACACUAUGAGAUGGCUUUGCGGUGCAUUAGCUAGUUGGUGGGGUAAAGGCCUACCAAGGCGACGAUGCAUAGCCGACCUGAGAGGGUGAUCGGACACACUGGGACUGAGACACGGCCCAGACUCCUACGGGAGGCAGCAGUAGGGAAUCUUCCGCAAUGGGGGAAAGCCUGACGGAGCAACGCCGCGUGAGUGAAGAAGGAUUUCGGUUCGUAAAGCUCUGUUGUUAGGGAAGAAUGAUUGUGUAGUAACGAGACACAGUAGAGACGGUACCUAAACAGAAAGCCACGGCUAACUACGUG